Molecule: RNA transcript, 6347 nt
Organism: Tympanuchus pallidicinctus (lesser prairie-chicken)
Lineage: Eukaryota; Metazoa; Chordata; Aves; Galliformes; Phasianidae
Gene: MRAP
Gene name: melanocortin 2 receptor accessory protein
Exons: 2
Source: RefSeq, a predicted model, not a curated record
AGAAUGAGAGGUAAAAGAGCUAAGUGUGAUAAAAUAAUCUGCAUGAAACAUUUAUUCACUGCUUCAGAUGAUCCAGAAGUUACAUUCAGCAUUUGCAAUUGCACACUGAGAUGAUGCUGCUUACUUACGUGGUUUGAGUGUCCCUCAACCAACUGCUGUUCACUGUUUCUAUUAAUCACCUGGGCCAAAAUAUUAAUUAAUAACUAUUGUGAUUUGCCAAUGCCAAAAACAUUGGGGAAUAAUGAAGCACAAGGGUAGGCAGAGCAGUCUGUUCUGCACAUUGUGUUUGCAAAAAAAAACAUAUAUUUUUCUUAUGUCAGCUAUCAAGGCUGUAUCUUAUUAAAGUAAGAGUGUCUGUACAUGCAGAGUGAGUGAGUACCUCAUUAAACCACAGCUAAGGAGGAAUCAGAAAUCAUGGUGAUAAAGUAGGUGAACAUGAGCCCCCCAAAGCAGUUCUGCAAGGCUCGAUCAAGUUAAAAGAAACUUACUAGUGAGAUCACAAAGGUAAUAGUAUGUGUGGCAUUGCUUAGACCAUUCAAAAAAUGUUGUACUUGUGUUAGAAUGGACUCUUUAAAAGGAGGUUUAAAGAAAUAGAGAAAGAAAUUGUACAGUGCAUCAUACAGCAAGAGCAAUAAACUGAAAUCAGUUCGUUUCUCAAGGAACAGAGGCUCAAAGGUGCUUAUUUGGAACUAUCUGCAUCCGUAGAACUCUAGUGUCCAGUUGGAGAGCCACAUCAUAACAAUCAGAUGCCAAAGUAUUUUACUAAAAUGUAAUGACUGGAAGCUUAUGUUACUCAAACUAAGAUGUACUACAUAAUUUACUGAAUUAAUUUCUGUUAAAUGGGUCAUGAUUAAUUCUUUUUUUACUCAGUGACUUAACAUCUUAGUAACAUGCAGUUGUAUUCAUCCCAAAAUUACUGUACUACUAUGAUCUAGCAUUCUAUGGUCUGUUAUGCAGAAGCUUCUUUCUCACCUAUAAUAUGUGAGUGGCUUAUUCUCUAAAUAUUUUUAAGCUCUUACCAUUUAAACUUACUCUGUGAGGCUACUGAUGUGUAUAACUGCCUGAAGAUCUGCUCCUGUUUUCUGUUCUUUUCUUGUUUGGUGAAUCCCGAUAGUCUGACAGUGCCUUUUUUUCUCAAAGGUGGCCCAUAUCUGAACUGCUGUCCUUUAGCAUAAUAAGCUCUUGGUAAAACUAUAAUAUGCUUAGUCAGAGGCAGUAUUAAUCAGUUGGAGGUGUAGUUGUAAAAUCAAAGAAUUGUUAAGGUUGAUAAAGACCAUUAAGAUCAUUUAGUCCAGCCAUCAACCCAUGACCACCAUGCCCACUAAGUGACUUGAAACACCUGCCAACCACAACCCUGUAGCAUUCACCACACCACUCAGCUUAGGAACGAUACAACAUAGUAAAGUUAGGUUUUCUGCUGGGCCAGAGUCUCCUGGAAUUAACCUCAUGUCAUUUUCCUAGUAAUUAAUGCUUUCAGAUGUGAUUCUGUUACUCACGUCUUUCUAAAUAUAAAUUUCAGUAGAGAACUAUUCACCAUUAGGAAGACAGUUGGGUCUCAGCUAGAGAGUAGGUCACUAAAGCAUAACAGCAUUUUCAGGUUCAAAAAGUGUUCUGCACAUAUGGCACUACAGAAAGACAUCUAGAUCUACAGAAAGAGAUUCUAGAGCAGCAUGACACUAACCAGGUUGUUUUUACAGCUGGGCUUGACAAAACAGGACAGUAUCUUUCAGUGGCAGACAGGUGGGUUAACUAAUCUGUUUUAGAAUAUUUCUACCUGAAACUCUUGUUCCUGAAAAGAGAGGCUGAAUAAAUACCUAAUUGUAACAGAUACAUUUGCAGUCCUCUAAGCAAUUAUUGACCCUGUCCAGUGAAGAGCAGAGCAGGUGCUGCACAGGUACCUGUAGUGGAUGUGCCUGAAGAAGAUGCAGUGCCUGCUGAUGUGCAGCACUUACAUGUUGGUUGAAUGGGAGCACAGUUCUAACACUACUUGUCAUUUUGAACUUUGUCUAAGGACAGGUUUCUGUUUGCAGCUUUCUACACUUGGCUUGCUUUGUUUGCUACUAGGUUCUUGUUGUUUGUUUUCUUUUUUUUCCUGGCAAACAUGUUUUAUGUAAACAAGGAUGCGUUUGCCCACUGUUCCACCUAAUCUGAUCAGGACAGAGAAAAUUCAGCUCAGCACAUUAGGGAGAGGUUCAAGAUUAGGUCACAAACAAGCAGAGGGAAUAUCGUGGCAUAAAAAAGGAGCUCUAAUAGCCUCAUUUAUUUGCACCCUGAGGCCCCUGGCAUUCCCACAAAAAGUAACAAUGACAAUAAAAAAGGCAACUUGCCCAAAGAAACCACAAAGCAAGAGGCAAGCUAAUAAUACAAGAAAUAUAUGGAAAUGAACAGAACAUUAUAGGGUAACAUUAAUUUACUGUUCCUGGAAAAAAAAACUGGCAGAAGUCUUUAUGCAUGAAUAGCUCAGUGUAUUUGGAAAAUUAAAACAAGUGUUAGUUGUUUGUUUUUUAAUCACUUUAUAUUAUGUUAUUUAAUGAAACACUUGCCUUAAAAAUAUCCAUAUUCAUCCUCAAUAUGUUCAAUUUUGCUGUUAAAAGACCUGCUGUGAGCAAGGCAAUUUGGCAGUGUUUUGUGGGAAACCCGAGAGUCAUUAAUGGAAAGCAGUAUUGGAUGAGAUGUUCGUAAGUUUUAAAUCAUCCUGUGUCUCAUCAUUUUUCUAGGCUUGAAACAUACUGAGAAAAUAUUUUUAGGACUGAACAGAGUAGUCAGCCCCCUUCUCCUUCCCCCCCACCCUCACAAACUUGCUCUUUUGGAUUGAGUUCCACUUGUUUUCUAACUGCCUGCUCCAAUUACAUUUAACUCCAGCAAUAAAACACAGUGAAUUGCUGUUCUUCUUAUUAGCUUACACCAUCUUCUCCUUUCUUCUCCUUUUCAUAUAAUCUCUCCAUUUUCCUUUGCAUGAAGAUCAGCUCGUAUCUAUAUGAAUUCUCCUUUCUCUUUUUCCAUGAUCAUUGUGAUGCAUUCACCUAACAAAUGUACAUGUGCGUCACUGGUCAAGGCUGGAGAACUUUUACCUUCACUGUUUCUGUGCUCAUCUCUCUCCCUGUCAAACCCAGGGGCAUAUAGGACAGUAUGUUCUGUUUCCGCUUGCUCAAUUGCUUGGUGAAACACUGUGCUUUCAGGGCUGACUGUUCAUAAGAGCAUAUCUCCUUGCUUUCACCCGCCUUCACCUGACUGUCAGGCAUACCUCUGCUGCUGUAAUUCAGCUGCCUUUAUGGUCAGCUGGAUCUCUGUGGGGUCCCUGAAGAUUACAUUUUGGCCUUGUAUAAUACGGAUGAUAUCUCUUGUACAACAGUGAUUGCAUCUAUUUCACCACUGUGUACACUGAUGUCUGUUAUGUUGGCAAGGCUAUGACAUCUGCCAUAGUAUAGUCUGCUGAUUUUCAGCUGCAUAUCCAUACAGAAGAGAAGUCAAAGUGUCUUCCGAAAGACACGAAAUAACUAGAUCUACUUAUUCCACUGCAUAAUCUUCAGAUGCUCAGAGGCCCUGGACUCAAAGCUGUGGUCUAAUUGCAUCACACUCACUCUGCAAUACUAAGUAUUUGGUGCCAAAUCAGAUGAGAGAAUUCAGGACGGGGGGAGGGUUAAUGCAUGCAAGAGAGCUUCAGCAAGGAAUCCAUGUCCCAGUCUCUUUUGUAACCAUUAUGCUGGCCCUACAGAAGGAAAGAAAAAAUGGUUUGAGGCAUGGCACCAAUUAAUUCAAACCCAUUAGCAUGCCAAGGCAUUUACCACAGUGUUGUAAUCAAGAGCCAGUAUUAACAUCUGCAUCAACAAUCUUUCUUACCAUCCAAAAUGAUAGAGAAAGCAAGGUUUGGUGGCUGGAGACAGUUCCCAUUGGAGGCUGGCACUUCAUGCAGUGGAAUGGAGGCAGGGAAUCAGCCUUCCCAAGCCUCCCAGGGAGAGAUCCCGUUUUCCCAUGCAUUUCACUGGAGGUCGUGCAUUCCUGACAGCUUGACAGACUGCUGUGAACAUCUAAAAUCUUCAGACUUUGCUUAUCUGACAGUAUAAUGUAGGGAGGGGGAAAAAUAGCAAAGAAAAAAAAAGAAAAAGGGAGGUCCACACAGUCUCAAACAAGUGACUCUGGACUCCUUGGCAGCAUGAGCCUUUUUUGAUGUCUGACAAUUUUUUUUGCAAUAAGAAACACUAUUCAGUGUUCAGACAUUUUUCCCAACUACACCCAACUUUUGCCCAAUAUUUUUGGGACACAUGGUAACAAAGUUUCAGAAUCCCUCUUGCCAGACAGCCAUGUGUGACUUGGCUUAGAAACCCUUGUUCUGCAGCCAGCUUUCACCUCAGUUUGCAGGUGAGGGUUUCCUGUACGGACAGGCAGAUAACUGCUGAUUUGGUGGACAGUCUGUACAACGUCCAUGUGCUCUUUCAGUUUUCUGCUCCAUCCAGAUAAUUGCAACAGCUGCUUCAUUCCUGGAACUUGGGAACUAAUUUGGAUAUUUGACAAGUCCAGGAUCGAUAGCAAUAUCCUAGAUCUCACAUGAGGGUAGACAACUGAGGUCUUUUUUUUUAAAUCUUCAAGAUUGUAAUAUUCAUUAGUGAACAACAAAUCAACCAUAUAUAUAUCCUACAAUAAGAAAAAGUGCCUAUUCCUGUACACAAGGGUAGCAGAUUUGAUAGUCUAAGCACUAGUUCAUAUUCUUCCCGAUGACCGUAAGAAGUGUCGUAGUCUACUUUGCCAUGCCUUGUCUUUGGGAAGAGGAGCUUACUGCACUAUACUACUUACUGUAGUAAGAAGAUCAUUGUGAGAGGUACUUUCCUGACUAAGCAGGCAAUGCUUUCAGGUAGCUGUUCCUGUUCCCUGUUUUUCUCAGGCCUCUGGUUUCAAGUCUUUCAGGCUUUCAUCAUUAAGAGAACCUCCUACAUUGACAGAACCUAUGUUGGCAGCUCCUCAUUGGUUGUUAAAAUGGUUAGCUAUGAACUGUCAGAACUUGUAACAAGUCUUCCAUCAUCAGAGCUCAAAUCACAUGGUCUUCACAGAAAGCUGUUCUCACUCCUGUCAUCUAAAGGUUGAUGGCUGGGAACCUAAUCCAUACCUUUUGGCAGGCUUCACGUCAUUGGAGUCCCAUGACUGGGUCUGUGGUGACACUUGGUACAGUGGUACUCAUAAUGCUCAGAGAAAACUUAUCUCUGAGUGAAAACUAAGUCAGGUUUUUUUGUUUAGCACCAUCCACUCCCUGCAUGCACAUGUGACCCCACAGACAAGAAGAGAAAUCGCCUACCAGUAAUCAGUGCCCUUCCAGAAAUCUCAUGCACUGAAAAACUGUAGGGGAAACUGAAAUACCGUUUGUUGAAUGUGAGGUUAGAAUGUGUCCCCCUCUAGUGGCUGCUGCUCAGACUUUCUUGGGUGGGCUGUGCAGUAGAGCGCACUUCUGAGUUGCUGGGAAGUAGGCUGCACUGGCAUUAAGAUGCUCGCCAGUGCUUUCUGAAGGCCCUUCUAGUACUUGCCCUUUCUCUUAGAAACUAAAAUCAUGGGGAUUUUUAUUUUCAAAAUAUUAAACUGUUUUUAAUGACAAAAACUCUUGCUAUCUGAUUUGGCAGACAUUUAAAAGUGUCAAGUCAGAAGAGUGAAAUAACUUUCGACCAAUGCAUUCGAGUAGACCUACUGUAUCAUCCAAGCCCACACUGUCUCUUCCGAGAGUGCCAAAUGUCCAGUCCAGUCCUUUGCUCCCAAGGGACAUAAACCACAACUGAUGGGUGGGAGGAGAUCUGGGAGCGCUGCCAACUGAAAGCAGGGAGGCAGGCUCCUCUAAAUUGUAUUCUCCUGAAGAAAUGAAAUCAGAUGUUUCACUGUGCCCAUCUUUCUACAAAACCAUACUGUCUGGAAUAUUUUUUGUUGGUGUCCCUUGAAAUACUUGUUCAGUUUUAUCUUAUCUUUGUUUUAAUUCCAUGACUUUGCCUGGAGCUGAGGUCAGUUACACUGGCUUCUAGUGACCUGGCUUUACCAGUUCACUCACUUGGAGUACUGGGACAUUAGAGCCUUUCCAGUCUCAUCAUGUUUCCCCACUGUUCCAAGGAUGGUUAAAGAUUAACAAGAGCCAUCCAGAGUUCUCCUCAGACAGACUGCAGGUCUCUGGGAUGCAAGUUCUCCAACUGGUGUAAAAAUUUGGAUAGCUAGCUAAUGAUACUGAGCUACUUAAUGGACUGGAAAGGAAGCAUCCUGUUUUGACAGGUGGUCGUAAGGAACCGGGUAGAAGAAAGCAGUUCCAACAGCGAGCAGCCUCACUGUGACAAUCUCAGCAGUCCAUUCCCAGAUUUGGUUGCUCCCGGAACACCCAGCUG